This 384-nucleotide ribosomal RNA is filed under the name Triticum aestivum (bread wheat). RNAcentral's name for it is "partial small subunit ribosomal RNA". The record is from RNAcentral. Lineage: Eukaryota; Viridiplantae; Streptophyta; Magnoliopsida; Poales; Poaceae.
AUGGCUAAUGAAGCCACAAACCAUAUUAACAUAUUCACACACAAAUCUUGUCCCACGCAUAUAUUCUGGUCCCACACCUAUUGCAAACCAUCAUCCAAUUAUGUGCAGAAAAAUCUGAAAAGAGCUCCUUGCGAAACGGAAACCUACAGAUCAUUGCAACAAAACAAAAAGGGAAAAGGGAGUGUGUGGCAGCAUCCAAAAACAAGGGAAAAAAUGCUUGAUCUGAAUGAGUUGCCUCCAGAUCUCAAUGAGCUUCCUCAUGAUACAGAUCAGCAGCAACCCAGCAUACAACAAGGAAACUGCACAGAAAAUGGUCGAUCAGUUUACUACACGCAGGCAAGUCGUGAUGGUAACCCUACGGGCCAUGACAAUGUGGCAGGCUAG